This 497-nucleotide ribosomal RNA is filed under the name uncultured bacterium. RNAcentral's name for it is "partial 16S ribosomal RNA". It matches the Rfam family "Bacterial small subunit ribosomal RNA", at positions 28 to 507 of the family's 1533-position model. The record is from RNAcentral.
GAUGAACGCUGGCGGCGUGCCUAAUACAUGCAAGUCGAGCGAACGGACGAGAAGCUUGCUUCUCUGAUGUUAGCGGCUGACGGGUGAGUAACACGUGGAUAACCUACCUAUAAGACUGGGAUAACUUCGUGAAACCGGAGCUAAUACCGGCUGAUAUUUUGAACCGCAUGGUUCAAAAGUUCAAGACGGUCUUGCUGUCACUUAUAGAUGGAUCCGCGCUGCAUUAGCUAGUUGGUAAGGUAACGGCUUACCAAGGCAACGAUGCAUAGCCGACCUGAGAGGGUGAUCGGCCACACUGGAACUGAGACACGGUCCAGACUCCUACGGGAGGCAGCAGUAGGGAAUAUUCCGCAAUGGGCGAAAGCCUGACGGAGCAACGCCGCGUGAGUGAUGAAGGUCUUCGGAUCGUAAAACUCUGUUAUUAGGGAAGAACAUAUGUGUAAGUAAAUGUGCACAUCUUGACGGUACCUAAUCAGAAAGCAACGGCUAACUACGUG